UAUUUGUUUUUUUAUGUGUGUAUGUAUGUAUACAUAUAUAUAUAUAGAUGAUAUCUGUCAUGUUUUUGUUUUGUAAUGACUUCAAAUGUUAAUUUUAAAUUAUUCUUUAUAUUUUUCUAUGCAGUCAUGAAUGAAGCAGCUUAUAAACAUAUGCUGGUUUGUAUAGCUCAAUGCUAGCCUACCAAAAUACUAUAGUGAAAUAGUAUAAUAUUUUCUAGCUUUCAAAGUUAUUUUUAAGUCAACAGGAUAUUUUAAUAGAUGAAUGAUAACAAAUAAAAUCAUUUCACAAUACGCUUUCAGCUGAAGGCCAUCAUGAGGAUUGAUCUGCUUGACUUUAAGCAGCCAUGCUUAUGAUGCUAGCAUAUCGAUGCCCUUGUACACAAGCUGACACCUGCUCACUGCACUCUGCGAACCUCAGCUACAUGAGGGUGGAGCUCGGCGUGCCGUCUAUCCAAAAACGGCAGUUAUCAGUAUGGUUCAACCGUCCUCCUGAAAUUACGUGGAGCGGAAUGUCAUGUACCCAGCGGUUACACCAACAUAUGCAUAAUCUGUGUAUGUGUGCGGGUGUGAGAUUGAACGUUUUUGUAGGUUUGAAUUUGUGAGAGACAGAGUAGGAGUGUAAGCAGUGUCAUGUUAUAAUAGUAAGUUAUUGGUAGCUUCAUUUUUAAAUAAAUAAUUAAUUUGGGACAUUUGUCAUUUGAAAAGUAAUUUAAAGUAUCUAUAUUUGUAUAUCUGUGGUUAGAUUCGACUUUUUAAUAUUUUCUUUAAUGUAUAUAUUAAUGAUAGAAUGAGAGAUUUUUUGGUGUUGUGUGUGUGUGUGUGUGUGUGCGUGUGCGAACGGAUGAGUUGCUGUAACGGCCUUCAUGAACCAGAGAAGAGCUGCAUGAACUGAAAUGUUUAGAUGCCAUAGAAAUACGUCAUACACAGUCCAACCCAUUGGCACACACCUAGUAAAUAGCUGCACUCAAUAACAAGCAUUUCAUAAAGGCGAACAUAAAUGAAGAAUCUCUCUCUUGAUCUCUCUCACACCCACCCACCCACCCAC
This is a long non-coding RNA of Gadus macrocephalus (Pacific cod), 1045 nucleotides long. RefSeq lists it as uncharacterized. The record is from RefSeq and is a predicted model, not a curated record. NCBI's taxonomy places the organism in Eukaryota, Metazoa, Chordata, Actinopteri, Gadiformes, Gadidae. The transcript is spliced from 2 exons.